GACGAACGCUGGCGGCGUGCCUAAUACAUGCAAGUAGAACGCUGAAGAGAGGAGCUUGCUCUUCUUGGAUGAGUUGCGAACGGGUGAGUAACGCGUAGGUAACCUGCCUUGUAGCGGGGGAUAACUAUUGGAAACGAUAGCUAAUACCGCAUAACAAUGGAUGACACAUGUCAUUUAUUUGAAAGGGGCAAUUGCUCCACUACAAGAUGGACCUGCGUUGUAUUAGCUAGUAGGUGAGGUAAUGGCUCACCUAGGCGACGAUACAUAGCCGACCUGAGAGGGUGAUCGGCCACACUGGGACUGAGACACGGCCCAGACUCCUACGGGAGGCAGCAGUAGGGAAUCUUCGGCAAUGGGGGCAACCCUGACCGAGCAACGCCGCGUGAGUGAAGAAGGUUUUCGGAUCGUAAAGCUCUGUUGUAAGUCAAGAACGGGUGUGAGAGUGGAAAGUUCACCCUGUGACGGUAGCUUACCAGAAAGGGACGGCUAACUACGUG
Molecule: ribosomal RNA, 497 nt
Filed under: uncultured bacterium
Lineage: Bacteria
Description: partial 16S ribosomal RNA
Rfam family: Bacterial small subunit ribosomal RNA
Source: RNAcentral